UGGAUGUGGUAUUUUGUCAAAAGAGUUAGCAAUAAAAACAAUACUCCUAAUAUUUAAAUUUUGUUUGUCGCGAACAUCAUACAAAUAUUGAUAAAAUAAGGUAAAUUUCUACCAUGUCUACUGUUGGUGGCUAUUUAGAUAAUGUAUAAUAGUGAACGAUAUACAAAUUGAUGCAAACAUUGCACAAACUUUCAGAAAUUGUUUUCUUUAAAUUCGAAUAUGCAAGUUAAAACAAAAACAUUUAUAAAUAAAAUAGUGAAUGGGUUAUCUUGGAAGAA
This 278-nucleotide long non-coding RNA is filed under the name Mytilus galloprovincialis (Mediterranean mussel). Lineage: Eukaryota; Metazoa; Mollusca; Bivalvia; Mytilida; Mytilidae. The record is from RNAcentral.